Molecule: long non-coding RNA, 760 nt
Organism: Mercurialis annua (annual mercury)
Lineage: Eukaryota; Viridiplantae; Streptophyta; Magnoliopsida; Malpighiales; Euphorbiaceae
Exons: 4
Source: RefSeq, a predicted model, not a curated record
GGACAUCUAAAAAAGUUGUCCCCUAUUCUUGUAUAGAAGACCAAUUUGGGGACGAAUUUUUCUAUUUAAUAUACAAUUGAAGUCUUUGCAGAAUAGGGGACAACAAGCUAUUUUUUUAUCUAAAUUAUUUACAUUAUCUAAUCAGUGAAUUGAAGUUUAAAUUGUAAAAAUGACAAUGAUAACAAACAAUAAUUCUUCAUUUUAUCUCUUCUUUUUUAAACCUAAAAAAACUUUUCUCUGGCCGCCGCUGCCCGUAUUGUGAGCCACGCUGCCCUUUUUCUCUUUGCCGCCGCUAUCACCGUUUUUGCUGCUGCUGCUUUCCUACCGCCACUCGCCGCUUGACGCUGAUGCCUACUCCAUUGACUCCCUUUGCUGCUGCCUGCUCCUUUUUGUUUCUUCUAUUACCUUCCGCAAUCGUGGUUACUCUUCAACAGGCUGCUCUUAUAGAAACAGUUGAAAAUUGAAAUAUGAAAAAUGAUUUACAGGUGCAGAAAGAGGCCGGUCUAAUUUUUCUUUUUUUUACAGAAAUAGAGAAUAAUAAAGAUUUGUGUCACCGAAAAUGGAUGACAUAUGAUCCGGUGAAGAUUAUCGUUCACUGAGUUCAUAGUACCUUUCAUUUUUUGAACAUUACAAUUUAGUAUACACUUGUAUCUACAAUAACUUUUUAAUAGUGAGUGGUGUAGUACUAUCUAAUGUUAUAGUUUUUUUAAAAAAUUUUGGAUUCUUGUAAUAUAUUUGUCUUAAAUAUUUGUUUGUACUA